Molecule: long non-coding RNA, 567 nt
Organism: Passer domesticus (house sparrow)
Lineage: Eukaryota; Metazoa; Chordata; Aves; Passeriformes; Passeridae
Exons: 3
Source: RefSeq, a predicted model, not a curated record
CCUCCUUAGACUGCCUCCUCCUUGCUGUCCUGGACCUACAGCAGACAUGCUACAAGCUGAAGACCCCCAGGAGAGCAAGAGCUUGUGAAUGUCAAAUGAAAUCAAUGGCACUAUUCAGCUCAGGAAAACAAGAGGGAUUGAGCUUCGUGGGCUAAACUGUGUGGCACUGGCCUCAUGCAACAAAAAAUACUAUGGCUGAACACAGAAAUUUCUUCCAUGGCUGCUGCAAUCCUGGUUGACAGCUUCCCAAGCUUCAGAAGACAGACAGGGGAGGAGGGAGAAUAAACAUGGCAAACUACUGUGAUGAGAGCACCAGUCAAGUAACAAGCAGUCCAAGAACAAGGUCUUCUUUUAAAAAUAUCUGGGAUCGGACCACUAUUUAAAUGAGAUGAACAUUCCUUCACUGACUUUACGUGACCUAUCUUGAACAUUUCAGUUAUCUACAAAACCUAAAUAGAAUAAAGAAUUUUUCUUAUGGGAAUCAAAAGAAGAAUACAAUAGCUGCUCUCUAACAGGCAGUCCACAUGCUGUCACAGCAGUGCUGCUACCCCAGACACCCACUGCUGG